RNAcentral lists this long non-coding RNA (902 nucleotides) under Heterocephalus glaber (naked mole-rat). Its description in RNAcentral is "lncRNA (ENSHGLG00100046455.1)". Lineage: Eukaryota; Metazoa; Chordata; Mammalia; Rodentia; Bathyergidae. The record is from RNAcentral.
CGAGCGAGUUGGGUCUUGCAGUCGCCCACCGCCCCGCUCUGCAGAUCGGUAGACUGAGUCCCGGCUAGGCGCGCAGCUCCGCGGGGCGGGAGUGGCUGAGCUAGGCGCUGACACGCCCUCUGUCCGCCCCAGAGGCAGCUCUUUGAGAUUCAGUCCACUCCGGCGCCCACCCCCCAGGUUGUCCAGAAAGUCCACUGGGCCAGGACGGUCACCCGUGGGCCUGACCUUCGGCGGUGCUCAGGGCCGAGCCCCUGCUCCAGCCGAGCCUCUUGGGACUCGGGCCACCUCUUCCCGAGCUGCUGUGCAGGCAGGUUCAGUGUCCUGUGUGCCAUCUCAGCCCCACCCCUCCAUGGCUGAGCAGUGGAGUGCCUGGCCCUGCCUAAGACUCUGGCUCUGGAGUUUAGUCUGUGAGUCUGCUCCUGCUUGACACGCCCCUAUCUAAGGCAGCGGAUUCACUAGUCUCACUAUGUAGCUCAGGCUGGCCUUGAACUAACAGCGAUCCUCCUGCCUCAGCUGCCCAAGUGCUGGGAUCACAGGGCUCCUCAAGGCUGAAGGCAACCGGGAACCAGUACCCAUCUCUAAUCUUGCAAAGGAAUUCAGUGAGAAAUGGAAUAAAAAAAUCACCAAGCACAUUUCCUCCAUAUGCUUUGUGAAACCAUAGAGAAUGCUCAUAUUGCACACCCCAGUGGGACACCCAUCAGCGAUGCUUUCAACCACUAGUGAUAAGCCAGGCAUGGUGGCACACACCUGUAAUCUCAGCCCUCGGGAGGCUGAGGCAGGAGGAUUACUAUGAGUUCAAGGCCAGCCUGAGCUACACAGUGAGUUCAGGGCCAGCCUGAACUACAAAGUGAAACUCUGUCUCAAAAAACCAAAAAAAACAACAAACAAACAAACAAAAAAAC